AAGUCGUAACAAGGUCUCCGUUGGUGAACCAGCGGAGGGAUCAUUACAGAGUUGCAAAACUCUCACAAACCAUCGCGAAUCUUACCCGUACGGUUGCCUCGGCGCUGGCGGUCCGGAAGGCCCUCGGGCCCCCGGAUCCUCGGGUCUCCCGCUCGCGGGAGGCUGCCCGCCGGAGUGCCGAAACCAAACUCUUGAUAUUUUAUGUCUCUCUGAGUAAACUUUUAAAUAAGUCAAAACUUUCAACAACGGAUCUCUUGGUUCUGGCAUCGAUGAAGAACGCAGCGAAAUGCGAUAAGUAAUGUGAAUUGCAGAAUUCAGUGAAUCAUCGAAUCUUUGAACGCACAUUGCGCUCGCCAGUAUUCUGGCGAGCAUGCCUGUUCGAGCGUCAUUUCAACCAUCAAGCUCUGCUUGCGUUGGGGAUCCGCGGCUGCCCGCGGUCCCUCAAAAACAGUGGCGGGCUCGCUAGUCACACCGAGCGUAGUAACUCUACAUCGUUCUGGUCGUGCGGCGGGUUCUUGCCGUAAAACCCCCCAAUUUCUAAGGUUGACCUCGGAUCAGGUAGGAAUACCCGCUGAACUUAA
Molecule: ribosomal RNA, 581 nt
Filed under: uncultured fungus
Lineage: Eukaryota; Fungi
Description: eukaryotic LSU rRNA
Rfam family: 5.8S ribosomal RNA (bases 235-388)
Source: RNAcentral